Molecule: long non-coding RNA, 730 nt
Organism: Portunus trituberculatus (swimming crab)
Lineage: Eukaryota; Metazoa; Arthropoda; Malacostraca; Decapoda; Portunidae
Exons: 7
Source: RefSeq, a predicted model, not a curated record
ACCUCUCCCUCCCGUAUACUUGCAGAGGUUCGCGACCACAGUCGCACGUGAAAGGGCCAUGUGACUUCCUGGCCACAAUCUUGCUUCUGACAUUCUGAGGCUAUCCUGCAGCUGGCAGCAACCCGGUGAUGUGUUUGCCUCCUUAACAUCGUGUCGGAUCAAAUACAUUGCCCUCGGAUCUACCAAAGUGCAACUCGUCCCUGCGACAGAAGCUUCUCGCGGCGGGAGUGUGGCAGGUGGCGUGUCCCUGGUGGCGGUGAGCAGCGUGGUGGCUUCAGCGAGUGGCACUCUUCACUACCACUCUUCACUGCGCGGCACCCGAUUCCUGUUGAUAAGGUAGAGGGCGAGGUCACGUGACUGCGAUGGGGGGGAGCUGACUAGGCACGUGUCUCGCCUUAUCGCCGCUGCAGGGAAACAAGGCGCUGUGUCCCAAACCGCGUAGCCGUCGUGUUUGGAUGUGUGUCAAGGCAGUGCUCAGAAGAGGACGUUAGGUGAAUGGUGGGCGGCUGUUCGCGGGGCCCAGAGGCUGUUUAGGUGAAGGCAUCAGCGAGGAGGAGCUGACCGCCGCAGUGACGACCAUCCCUCGCGCCUCAGACUGCUGCCCCGAUCACCGCCAUUCACACUGCGCCGGGGUUAGCUGGGCACCACACCCGCCGCUCCACACUCAUGUACUGGUGCUGCAGUGCUGGUGGCGGCGAUUGUAAUGGCAACAACAAGGAGAGUAACAAGA